This 249-nucleotide long non-coding RNA is filed under the name Elaeis guineensis (African oil palm). Its description in RNAcentral is "long non-coding RNA (EGUI_LNC059616)". Lineage: Eukaryota; Viridiplantae; Streptophyta; Magnoliopsida; Arecales; Arecaceae. The record is from RNAcentral.
GAGAAGCUCAGACAUUGAUGAAGUCUGGAAGAAGCUCAGAGUGAAGUCGAUCGUGACAGGAGGAAGUCUGGAAGAGAUUCGGAGAGUAGUCGAUCACUGUAGAAAAUCGACUGAUGGUGAAGCCCAGAGAGUAUUUGAAGCAGUCCGAUAGAUGAAUGAAGGAGCUCAUUAUUGGAGAAGUCUGGAGGGUACGAUAGGAGUUCAUCCAUUGGAGGAAUCUGAAGGACACUGUAGAAGGAUGACUGCUGG